GGCCCUGGAUUUAGCUUGGGUUGAAGGAAGUUAAAUCUGCAGGUGGGGUCUGUGCCCAAUUUAAGGUGUGAAUCAGCAAACAGGGGCCCCAGCUCCUGUCGGCCGGGUGACCUUUUGCACGCCCUCCUCGAAACUGUGUCGUCGUCUGUGGCCGAGUUUUUAGAUUUUAGAUCGCAAGGUGACUUUAGUGGGCAGUGACUAGCACGUUUUUUCUUUUUUAAGGACCUCACACAGACGCAGUGCAGGGUUCGGGAAUCCCUUGCUUGCCCCUCCGGUCCAACUAAUAAACCAAGUGCGUCGGGGGCUUCCCCGUCCGUUCGUUAGGCCGAGUGCAGCCCCACUUUUACGCAGGAUCAGGACAGCCAGACCCGAGGAGGCAGCGUGGCGUGGCCAUCUCCGGGCCCGGGGCCCCUGCCGGGGGGAAAGGAAGCUAGAGGCCCGGUCUGGGUUGAGCUUAGACCUCAUGCCGGGGGCCGAGCUGGACAUGCAUUCCCAAGAUUUACCCACAAGGGUGCAUAAACACCAGUUCCGAUGAUGGCUGUAUGGGAAGGGACAGAGGGGACCUACUUUAGCCAGGGAAGGGCUGAGGCUGGGACAGUUUCGUUCUGAUAGGAAAGUUGAGAAUUUGACCCUCCUUGCCUGGAAAGUUUACUUCUAUCCACCUCCAUGUGAGGUGAGGGAGCAGGUCAACUGCCUCUCGGAGCACUUGGAACGCAGCAGCCCCAACCCCUAGGCCUUUCUUUGCCCUGCCAGCCCCAGGAUGGCCUGACUGGUGUUCUCUGAGUACAGCUGAGGCACCCAGCUGACUCCCUGAGUGCUGUUUCAAGAACGAAUCCUGUCCCGUCCCUCCCUCCCUGAGGAGGCCAUCAGUCUCCUUGCUGAAACAAUCCCCUAUCCAACUGGCUGAGAAACCAGCUCCUGGUAGACAAGGCAGUACGGUGUUUUUGGAGAGCCCACGCAGGUCUCAUUCUCUCUCCAUUUCUGGGCCUUCAAGUCCUGAGGAUCAGUUUCUGAUGUGGGACAGGGAUACAGCCACCCCUCCCAGGCAGCUGGCAGCAAAACAUGAGAGGAAAACAGCAGAGAGCCUCCCAUUCCUUGGCUGCUGUGGUCAGAGCUCCCACCCUCCAAGAGAAGAUGGUCUUGAGGAUCUAGCUUUACAGUGGCUGCAUGGCCUCCCCUUCCCACCCACCUGCUGGAAGAAGCCAUGCAGGGCCUGGAGUGUGGUGUUCGAGAGGGUAGACAGGUCAGCCAAAGCCACACCUUGCAGAACAUCACCCACCUCUUCAUGAGAGAGGACACUGCUACUCCGGUACCGCAUAAACUGGCCAAGGAAGAGAAGCCCCAAACACCCAGUGAUUUGGCAUCUCCAUCAUAGACAUCUGCUGUGCCCCAACUUUAGGGGACACUGUCCUGAGGCCCACAGAACCUGCCUGCCUUCAAGGAGCUCAGAGUUAGUGGGCAGAGGUGGGGCUAUGUCAUGGGGAAGUGGGGUAAGUAAGGCAAACUGUGAGAUCCUGAGAGAGUUGGCCCUCCUGGCCCCUUUGGCCUUGGCUCCCUCCUCUCCAACAUUGCACUGAACACUCAGGGCCAAAAUCAACUACGUGUGGCUCCCCUGACAUACCACCAUGUGCUCUUGUACCUGUUGUUCUUACUCCACUACCUGGAACACCUUUCCUCCUCUCUGCCUAUUAAUCUCUCAAGCCACAGCUAAAAUGUUUCCUUCACUGCUGAGAAGCUAUUACUCUUUCCUCUUUGUUCCUACACCAACCACUGAUGUACUUGUUGAUCCACUUCGCUGUCAUUCUUAGGCUCGCUGCUUUGUUAUUUAUUCAAGGGGCACUUACUGUGUGCCUCGCAGUUAGCAUCUCCUCUACUCUACCACUUGUAGUGUCAUAUUUACAUUACUAGUUUACUUGUCUAUCCUCCUCUUUAGACUGAGGGACCCUAAAGGCAGAGUAUCUGGUUCAUUGACGUCCUUAGUAUCUAGCAGACCUGGCAUGUGGUAGACAGGCCCUGGUCAACAUGUCAUGAGAGAAGUAGGGGAAAGGGUGUCGGGGUCCCCUGGCGUGAGGAGAUAUGGGCAUUCAGAGGAAUUCUUUCAGCAGGCCCCUUGUAGGGUGAAGGCCCGCCCAGCCCUUCCACCUUCUUUGAGGAUUAGGGUUUCCUAAAGUAAGGAGACCCUGGCGUCUUCAGCACCACCUAGCUCAUGACACUCCUCAGACCACAAGAUAUCCUUUCUGCACUUACCAGGGUCAUGAGCCUCAAAAUCUCAGGUCUGAGGAAGGAAUUCUCUCCAGCAUCCAACAGUGUAAACAGCAAAAACCGAUUCCAAGGCUGGGAGGCCACGUGAAGAGCUUCAACAAACACUGUGUUGUUAAUGCUUCCAAGGCCUUGCCUUGGGACACUGCUCAAGAGGACUUUCUACUAUUGGCUUAAAAAGGGGCUACCCAGUUAGAGACAGGGCACUGGAGAAGCUGACCCAAGGAGGGUUCUUUCUUUGCUGUGCUUCUAAUCCACCUAUGUUGGCUGGCUCAGUGAAACUAUAUACGCCAUGAUUGUGGAAGGCAGGUAGUAAGAAGGGCUCUGCCACUUAAGAGCAUUGUGACCUUGGUUGGGCACAUCAUUUGACCUCUCUGAACCUUAUUGAUCUCAUCUGUAUAAUGGGCAUGACUGCCCUUGCAGUGCUGCUAAAAGAAUUAAACAAAACAGGCCGG
Non-coding RNA from Macaca mulatta (Rhesus monkey), 2714 nucleotides. The record is from RefSeq and is a predicted model, not a curated record. Lineage: Eukaryota; Metazoa; Chordata; Mammalia; Primates; Cercopithecidae.